Molecule: long non-coding RNA, 258 nt
Organism: Phalaenopsis equestris
Lineage: Eukaryota; Viridiplantae; Streptophyta; Magnoliopsida; Asparagales; Orchidaceae
Exons: 3
Source: RefSeq, a predicted model, not a curated record
GGCUUUGAAGAGAAACCAGCCUGUGGAUCAAUUAGCGAGGCGGAAAUUGCUUUCUCAUCCUACAAGUCCUUGUGCAACAAUAUUUCUCGUCAGCUAAUUUGGGCAGUUGCAGAAAAUUACCGCUUUGAGCCAGCUUUUGUCGAGUGCAGAAGACUAGUAAAUGAUAUUGGUGAAAUGAUGAACAUCCAUGUAAUAGUUGAGGGCUCUAUGAACAGUUCGAAUCCCUAUUUUUCAAGCUCUUGGCGUCGCAAUUUUACU